Long non-coding RNA from Sebastes umbrosus (honeycomb rockfish), 226 nucleotides. RefSeq lists it as uncharacterized. Lineage: Eukaryota; Metazoa; Chordata; Actinopteri; Perciformes; Sebastidae. The transcript has 2 exons. The record is from RefSeq and is a predicted model, not a curated record.
AGCCUGCACAUUAACUCUUCUCUUUCAUGUCUGAGACAAGAAGUGUGCCUUCAUUUGGGAAAUUCCUUUAUUAGUCAAGUGCAUUGAAUGUAACCAUUGACUCUUUGUUCUUAUGCAUAUAAAAACCCUGGUGAGGAUGCACUCGGGAUCGAUUCCUCGGCAGUCGCUGACUGUCACUUUAGAGGUUUCGGUCCUUUUGCGCAAAAGCUAAAUAAAUAUACAAAGA